This is a small nuclear RNA of Vulpes vulpes (red fox), 92 nucleotides long. The record is from Ensembl. Lineage: Eukaryota; Metazoa; Chordata; Mammalia; Carnivora; Canidae.
GUGCUCACUUUGGCAGCACAUAUACUAAAAUUGGAACGAUACAGAAAAGAUUAGCAAUACGCAAUGAACUUACAGAAUUCUACCUAUCUCCU